This is a long non-coding RNA of Vigna unguiculata (cowpea), 431 nucleotides long. The record is from RefSeq and is a predicted model, not a curated record. Lineage: Eukaryota; Viridiplantae; Streptophyta; Magnoliopsida; Fabales; Fabaceae.
GUAGUAUGUAUGAAGUCUUCUAUUCGAACCUCAAUAUCAUUAUACAUAAAAAGGUUUACAACAUGUCAUCUCAAUGUAAUAAUGGUGAUGUGGGUUUGUCAUGGAUGUGGUUUUGUAUCAUGGAAUGCUGGUAUGAAAUGGAGAUGAUGGAGAAGACAUAGAGGCACACAACUCCCAUCUGAAAACAAAGGAGGCAGAUGUGUAGCAAUGCAUAAGUGAAACCCUAAUGUUCUCUUUGUUCUUAGUCUUAUGUUGGUUUAUCAGGGCAACUAAUCAUUUUGUUAAAAGUUGGGCCAUACUCGGCCCAAUACAAAAAUAUAAGUUAACCUAAUACUCUAAUACUUUAAUACCAUAGGAUUAGAGUUCUCUAUAUAGGAUUAAAAACAAAUGUUCUUUCUUUCAAAUUAAUCUUUUCUAGUAUUUUUCUUCAA